UUUUAUCGGACCACAGAUAAAUUAUCACGUUGUGAUUGGUUAAACGCCGUCACGUGGUGACCCCCUAUGAGACUGUAGGGGGUUAGUAAGUUUCAUAGGGGGUUCAUGACGCGUUAAUGGUGACGUCAUCUAUUGCUGUUGUUGUGGUUCAUUGUUUAUUUUUCAACAAAACGCAGCAGAAAAAGUCCAGCGUCCGAUAAAUUCGUUAUACGGUUAACUACUGACCCCCUACGGGUCCAUAGAGGGUGAAUAAAAUUCAUAGGGGAUUCGGCCUCCGGCC
RNAcentral lists this long non-coding RNA (280 nucleotides) under Mytilus galloprovincialis (Mediterranean mussel). The record is from RNAcentral. Lineage: Eukaryota; Metazoa; Mollusca; Bivalvia; Mytilida; Mytilidae.